Molecule: ribosomal RNA, 329 nt
Filed under: Candidatus Avisuccinivibrio pullicola
Lineage: Bacteria; Pseudomonadati; Pseudomonadota; Gammaproteobacteria; Aeromonadales; Succinivibrionaceae
Description: bacterial SSU rRNA
Rfam family: Bacterial small subunit ribosomal RNA
Source: RNAcentral
CUUAUGAAGAGUUUGAUCAUGGCUCAGAUUGAACGCUGGCGGCAGGCCUAAUACAUGCAAGUCGUGCGGUAACAGGGGAGAAGCUUGCUUCUUCUGCUGACGAGCGGCGGACGGGUGAGUAAGGUCCGGGAAGCUGCCCUGCAGAGGGGGACAACGUCUGGAAACGGGCGCUGAUACCGCAUAAACCCCGAGGGGGAAAGGGAGGGCAACCUUCCGCUGCAGGAUGUGCCCGGACUGGAUUAGCUUGAGGGCGGGGUAACGGCCCACCCUGGCGACGAUCCAUAGCCGGUCUGAGAGGAUGACCGGCCACAUCGGGACUGAGACACGGC